Molecule: transfer RNA, 74 nt
Filed under: Termitomyces sp.
Lineage: Eukaryota; Fungi; Basidiomycota; Agaricomycetes; Agaricales; Lyophyllaceae
Description: tRNA-Met
Rfam family: tRNA
About the family: Transfer RNA (tRNA) molecules are approximately 80 nucleotides in length. Their secondary structure includes four short double-helical elements and three loops (D, anti-codon, and T loops). Further hydrogen bonds mediate the characteristic L-shaped molecular structure. tRNAs have two regions of fundamental functional importance: the anti-codon, which is responsible for specific mRNA codon recognition, and the 3' end, to which the tRNAs corresponding amino acid is attached (by aminoacyl-tRNA synthetases). tRNAs cope with the degeneracy of the genetic code in two manners: having more than one tRNA (with a specific anti-codon) for a particular amino acid; and 'wobble' base-pairing, i.e. permitting non-standard base-pairing at the 3rd anti-codon position.
Source: RNAcentral
AGCGAUAUGGUGUAAAGGGUUUUGCACAACAGCCUCAUGACCUGUUGGUUCAGGUUCGAAUCCUGAUUUCGCUA